GGGGAAAUUGCGGAAGCGAUCACUGACAAUGCAAGGGAUAAUUUUUCCAAGACUGUGGGGCUAUGCAUGGGAUACGUUCAAGCCUGGGAUGUACCCCAAAGCUCACCUCCUCAACAAGGGAUGAGUUUCUCCCAAGACCAUCAACUACUUGUAACUGGACAAGCUUAUGUGGUGCCUUUUUUGUUGAAAUUGGAGGAUAUCUAUGAGCCAAUUAAAAAAGCCAUCAAUAUCACUCAGAAUAUAAUAUAUAAUUUAGAUAAAAUUGCAGGAGAUGAUUUUAUCAUCAAUCAGAAUAUGAUAUAUAAUUUAGAUGAAAUUGAGGGAGAUGAUUUUAUCUUGUUUACCUCUUUGAUUUCUCAGCAUAUCCUGGCUUUUCAAGAAAGAUUAAAAAAUUUGCAUGCUUCAAUGCAGGAUUUCCUAAUGCAUAUUGUGGCCAAUGACAUUCCUCAACCUAGAAGAAAAAAAGGGGAGCAAUAAAUUUUAUAGGAUCUUUUGCAAACACAUUAUUUGGGACUGCUACACAAGAUCAAGUUGAUAUUAUUCAUAAAAGAUUACAAUCGUUAGACUCCUUCACAGAAGAGGAAAGAAAACUCCUCAAUGUUCAUUCCCAUGUUAUCAAUGUCACUCUCAAUGAACUAACAAAUGUUCAUCAAACAUUGGAAAAACUAGAAACUGCUACCCGUGUUACUAAGACCCUUAUGACUAAGAUGGAAAAACAUAUAGAAAAUAA
RNAcentral lists this unclassified non-coding RNA (730 nucleotides) under Portunus trituberculatus (swimming crab). Its description in RNAcentral is "uncharacterized LOC123500188, transcript variant X4". The record is from RNAcentral. Lineage: Eukaryota; Metazoa; Arthropoda; Malacostraca; Decapoda; Portunidae.